UACGUAGGGUGCGAGCGUUACUCGGAAUUACUGGGCGUAAAGCGUGCGCAGGCGGUUGUGUAAGACAGAUGUGAAAUCCCCGGGCUUAACCUGGGAAUUGCAUUUGUGACUGCACGGCUAGAGUGUGUCAGAGGGGGGUAGAAUUCCACGUGUAGCAGUGAAAUGCGUAGAUAUGUGAGGAAUACCGAUGGCGAAGGCAGCCCCCUGGGAUAACACUGACGCUCAUGCACGAAAGCGUGGGGAGCAAACAGG
Molecule: ribosomal RNA, 252 nt
Filed under: uncultured bacterium
Lineage: Bacteria
Description: partial 16S ribosomal RNA
Rfam family: Bacterial small subunit ribosomal RNA
Source: RNAcentral